RNAcentral lists this long non-coding RNA (1043 nucleotides) under Capra hircus (goat). Its description in RNAcentral is "lncRNA (ENSCHIG00000000751.1)". The record is from RNAcentral. Lineage: Eukaryota; Metazoa; Chordata; Mammalia; Artiodactyla; Bovidae.
AUGUCCAUUUGUAAAAACAGAGACACUAAUAAGCCCGAUGUGAAAGGCACAAUUGCCGAGAUUUCUAGCUGUAUUUUGGGUCUUGGAGGGACAUCCUUUGCUCUCAGAAGCUUAGUACGGACUGGGGUAUUUUUACCUACAGAAUACAAAGACUUCAAUUUGAGGAAAUGUCAUUCAGAUUUGGCCAACAUCUCAUCAAGCCCUCCGUGGUGUUUCUCAAAACAGAACUGUCCUUUGCCUUGGUGAACAGGAAGCCUGUGGUACCUGGACGUAUCCUUUUUUUUUUUUAAGAGAGAAAACAGACCAAAUGAACACAGCCAUUAACCUCUAGUAUUCGACCAAAAAGGUAAGCAAGGAAUCCUCCUGUCUCCCCCUUUGGAGAAACCAGGUAGGACAAUAUUCACAUUUAUUCUGAAUCCAGUUGGUGGCACCAGUAAUAUGCUUGAUCAGUGCUGCAGAACUUCUGAAAAGGAGUUGCUUAGCAACUGUGGCUUUGGAGGUGAGUUUUUGCAUGACCUUUUCACUGUUGUGGCUGUGUAAAUAAAUAGGUGCUUCUAAAAUGGAUCCAAUGAAUAUCCUUAGCACUUUGUUUUCAGGUGUCAAGUGUGCACUUUAAUAGUAAGAUAAGAGAUUGGGUGAUGCACUUGUGUUGUGGAAGUAAGGUGUUACAUGAAGAUUUGAGACUGGCUUGGUUUCUUUACCUCUUGGAGAUCAUUCAAGCUGUGAAUUUUAAUUGCACUCAAACACAUAAAUAUACUACAAAAUAUAUAUAUAUAUUUUAUGUUAGAGUCUGAGAUAGCAUUUUCUCUUGGAAAACAUCCCAGCUCCUAGAUCAUUGUCUGGUGCCAUUGGUGGUGUGGGGUAUUUUAUUUCCCUCUGACCAUCGAUUUCAGUAGAAGCUUUAUUCUUUGCGGUGGGAGAGGGAGAAUUUGGUGAAAUGCCCUGGAGAGUUGUUUUUAUGUUGUUGAAAGUAUCACUCGUGACUGUAUGUGGAUGACAUUUGUACUAACUCUUCAAAAAUUUUAUUCCCCCCCACCCACCCC